RNAcentral lists this ribosomal RNA (432 nucleotides) under uncultured bacterium. RNAcentral describes it as "bacterial SSU rRNA". It matches the Rfam family "Bacterial small subunit ribosomal RNA", at positions 96 to 524 of the family's 1533-position model. The record is from RNAcentral.
UGGCGGACGGGUGAGUAAUACAUCGGAACGUGCCCGAUCGUGGGGGAUAACGAAGCGAAAGCUUUGCUAAUACCGCAUACGAUCUACGGAUGAAAGCAGGGGACCGCAAGGCCUUGCGCGAACGGAGCGGCCGAUGGCAGAUUAGGUAGUUGGUGGGAUAAAAGCUUACCAAGCCGACGAUCUGUAGCUGGUCUGAGAGGACGACCAGCCACACUGGGACUGAGACACGGCCCAGACUCCUACGGGAGGCAGCAGUGGGGAAUUUUGGACAAUGGGCGAAAGCCUGAUCCAGCCAUGCCGCGUGCAGAAUGAAGGCCUUCGGGUUGUAAACUGCUUUUGUACGGAACGAAAAGACUCUGGUUAAUACCUGGGGUCCAUGACGGUACCGUAAGAAUAAGCACCGGCUAACUACGUGCCAGCAGCCGCGGUAAU